This 419-nucleotide ribosomal RNA is filed under the name uncultured bacterium. Its description in RNAcentral is "bacterial SSU rRNA". It matches the Rfam family "Bacterial small subunit ribosomal RNA", at positions 361 to 772 of the family's 1533-position model. The record is from RNAcentral.
AUUUUGGACAAUGGGCGAAAGCCUGAUCCAGCAAUGCCGCGUGUGCGAAGAAGGCCUUCGGGUUGUAAAGCACUUUUGUCCGGAAAGAAAUCCGUCUGGCUAAUAUCCGGAUGGGAUGACGGUACCCAGAGAAGAAGCACCGGCUAACUCUGUGCCAGCAGCCGCGGUAAUACAGAGGGUGCAAGCGUUAAUCGGAAUUACUGGGCGUAAAGCGUGCGUAGGUGGUUUGUUAAGUCGGAUGUGAAAUCCCCGGGCUCAACCUGGGAACUGCAUUCGAUACUGGCAAGCUAGAGUGUGGUAGAGGGUAGUGGAAUUCCCGGUGUAGCGGUGAAAUGCGUAGAUAUCGGGAGGAACAUCAGUGGCGAAGGCGGCUACCUGGACCACAACUGACACUGAGGCACGAAAGCGUGGGGAGCAAA